GGGCUGAGUGGUAGAGCAAGUGCCUCGCAUGCCCAAGGCCCUGGGUUCUAACCCCAGCACCA
Molecule: transfer RNA, 62 nt
Filed under: Marmota monax (woodchuck)
Lineage: Eukaryota; Metazoa; Chordata; Mammalia; Rodentia; Sciuridae
Description: tRNA.Ala
Source: RNAcentral